AGCAUGUUAGCUCAGGGGAAGAGCGGUAAUUUUUCACGUGACCUCCACUUAAUCGAGUUAUAAACUAACAUAAUCACAGCCGGGCUCAUAACCCGGAGGUACGAUUAUCCUUCAUCACAGCCAAUCACAAUCCGGUUCCUAACGAACAAUAGGUCCCUGGAUCGAAACCAGGACAUGCUA
Molecule: transfer RNA, 180 nt
Filed under: Aspergillus oryzae 3.042
Lineage: Eukaryota; Fungi; Ascomycota; Eurotiomycetes; Eurotiales; Aspergillaceae
Description: tRNA-Glu
Source: RNAcentral